This 1568-nucleotide long non-coding RNA is filed under the name Diabrotica virgifera virgifera (western corn rootworm). Its description in RNAcentral is "uncharacterized LOC126892219". Lineage: Eukaryota; Metazoa; Arthropoda; Insecta; Coleoptera; Chrysomelidae. The record is from RNAcentral.
UACUAUAGCUACUAGUUCCUUAUUGUGCGAAUUGGAUCACAUUUUGCCUGGUUGUUCGUCCUUGGAUAUGCCAUCAUAAAUUUGAUGUCCAUGGAUAUUUCAAUUUUGGACCUAGUGCCCAAUUCGACACUUAUUUGUCACUAUAAAUUUAUUACUAUAAUCGAGUCAAUGUUUUGGUUUCUUCACUAAUGGUUUAUACAGACAUUUAAUAUGACUUUGAGUCAUCUUAUGGAAUCUGAAGAAGUCCAUACUUUUUCUUGAUAAAAUUGUCUUAAUCUUGUUAAUCAAUGUGUAAUGAAGAAAUAGACCACUAUGGUUAGUGAUAUAUUAAGUUUAGAAAAAAAAAAUUUUUGUACCUAAAAUUUUUUUUUCAUCAAGUUGGAGGGGAAUGUAACGGAACGUUACUUAAUGAAAAUAUUUUAAUUAAAAAUCAAUAAUUUAAUAUUUAUAAAAUGCUACUUUUCCAUCUUGCAACACCGCCAACACUGGACAUUAGUUCCACGAGUAGCCGCUGUCGCAAGUAUCAAGAAGAACUGUCAAAUUUUUAAAAAGUUUCACUGUUAGCUGAACCUCCAAAUAAAUAAGUUCCAAGUGGUCGGUGGCUUUUUGAACAAAAAAAGGAAUCACCUUUUAAUUAUUUUUUUUAUACGGAAGCUAUCGUAAUUAAGUUGAAGGAGGAGAAAGUUUUGUUUUGUUGAAGGAGAAAAGUAUUAAUUUGGUAAAAAUUUGGGAUGAUUGCUAUCGGCCACUUGGAACCACUGGAAUAUUCAUCCCACUAACAUCAGGGAUGAAAUAAAAAAAAACUUUAGCGCAGUCACGGGGUAGCCUAGGAGCUGGAAUCGUCUUUUGAGUUGGUUUUUGGACUAUCAUUAUUUUGUUUGGAACUUUGGAAAAGACUUUACGUUAGUUGGUGUUGGACAGUGAUUAAGUAUUUUUUUUUUAUUAUUAUUUUCAAGAACAUUAAUUUUUUCUAAAUAAUUGGAACAUUCAAUAUCUAUUAAAAAUAUAAAAUUAAAUAAGUUUACAUUAUACUCCACUAAGUUAUUCAUAAUUUUUUCAAACAAAAACAAAAGAAAUAAUUUAAAUAUUUUCAAUUUUUAAUAAUAAAUAAUACCUCCUCUUCAAGGCUUCAAAUUUGCAUUUUUCUAAUAAAUUAAUUUCUUUUGUUUCUUUUCUCACGUGUAAAGGUAAUUGAGCUCAACUAUCCGGAGAAAAUUUGGUAAAUUUUUUAUAUAUUAUAAUUACUGAACCUUGGCUUUUGUCCCCCUCAGGGUAAUUGACCAUUUAACUUGUUUUUUUUAUUAUUGUAACCGCACAUGAAGUUAGAGUUUUACCUCGAGUAGUGUGUCGGUUCAUUUUUGUACCAUAAAUUGGAUUUGACAUUUCAAACCAAUUUUUAGGGGUGGACUUUGUUCCUCUUUUGUUUAAACUACUCUGUAGACUGUAAAUUGUACAUACUUUAUUAGUAAAAUAUUUUUUAUUAAUUUUAGGGCAUACCUUGUUGGUACAUAUACGAAUUUUUGUACAUAUAAGUAAAAGCUAAAUACACUAUUGAUUGGGUUGUAUAA